CUCAACCGGAAGAGGAUUAAAGUAAACUCAUAAACCAAAGAACAAUAAAACAAGAACUUACUAGAAUUAGAAGUCGAAUUACUGAAGAAUCUUAGGAGCAAGCUGUUGACGGUCCUUAAGUAUCAAAUUUAAUUAUCAAAUAAAUAAAGAAAAGGAUCCAAAUGAAAUCAACAUCUAGACUUAGGGUUUUAUCUGACAGAAUUCCACGAGUUUUGGUGUUUGUCUAUUUCUGCAGGGGGUUAUUAGGAAAUACGGAAGAAAGGCCC
RNAcentral lists this long non-coding RNA (266 nucleotides) under Sorghum bicolor (sorghum). Its description in RNAcentral is "long non-coding RNA (SBIC_LNC012861)". The record is from RNAcentral. Lineage: Eukaryota; Viridiplantae; Streptophyta; Magnoliopsida; Poales; Poaceae.